Molecule: small nucleolar RNA, 109 nt
Organism: Ochotona princeps (American pika)
Lineage: Eukaryota; Metazoa; Chordata; Mammalia; Lagomorpha; Ochotonidae
Gene: SNORA74
Rfam family: Small nucleolar RNA SNORA74
About the family: U19 belongs to the H/ACA class of snoRNAs. snoRNAs bind a number of proteins (including dyskerin, Gar1p and Nop10p in the case of the H/ACA class) to form snoRNP complexes.
Source: Ensembl
CCCAGUUGUAGGCAACUAGCUAGGUUGCCUUGUACCUAGGCAAGUGCUACACAGCUGGGAGAAAAGCAGCCAAUAGCUGGUGGGCAUCCUGGGCCUGCUUAAUGACAAA